GGCUUUAGAAAAGAAAAAAUAUUUAAGAUGCCUGCAGGCUACCUCGACCUUGAACAAGGAGGUGGUGAUACUAGAGCGUCUCAUCCUUCAGUGAGUCCUGCCGAAGCUGCACAAAUCUGUUGUGAGAAUUCACAGACCUCUGCGCCUUCCCUUGGAGGUCCCUGGUUAUGGAUGCGCCUGCAGAUAGUGUGAAGAGGACCGCUCUGCAUUC
Molecule: long non-coding RNA, 211 nt
Filed under: Chinchilla lanigera (long-tailed chinchilla)
Lineage: Eukaryota; Metazoa; Chordata; Mammalia; Rodentia; Chinchillidae
Description: lncRNA (ENSCLAG00000028661.1)
Source: RNAcentral